RNAcentral lists this ribosomal RNA (397 nucleotides) under uncultured bacterium. RNAcentral describes it as "bacterial SSU rRNA". It matches the Rfam family "Bacterial small subunit ribosomal RNA", at positions 30 to 429 of the family's 1533-position model. The record is from RNAcentral.
AUUGAACGCUGGCGGCAUGCCUUACACAUGCAAGUCGAACGGCAGGCACGGGAGCAAUCCUGGUGGCGAGUGGCGAACGGGUGAGUAAUAUAUCGGAACGUGCCCAGUCGUGGGGAUAACGUAGCGAAAGCUACGCUAAUACCGCAUACGAUCUAUGGAUGAAAGCGGGGGAUCGCAAGACCUCGCGCGAUUGGAGCGGCCGAUAUCAGAUUAGGUAGUUGGUGAGGUAAAGGCUCACCAAGCCGACGAUCUGUAGCUGGUCUGAGAGGACGACCAGCCACACUGGGACUGAGACACGGCCCAGACUCCUACGGGAGGCAGCAGUGGGGAAUUUUUGGACAAUGGGCGCAAGCCUGAUCCAGCAAUGCCGCGUGCAGGAUGAAGGCCUCGGUGUAAC